This 641-nucleotide ribosomal RNA is filed under the name Streptomyces sp. I13A-01647. RNAcentral's name for it is "bacterial SSU rRNA". It matches the Rfam family "Bacterial small subunit ribosomal RNA", at positions 99 to 754 of the family's 1533-position model. The record is from RNAcentral. Lineage: Bacteria; Bacillati; Actinomycetota; Actinomycetes; Kitasatosporales; Streptomycetaceae.
CGAACGGGUGAGUAACACGUGGGCAAUCUGCCCUGCACUCUGGGACAAGCCCUGGAAACGGGGUCUAAUACCGGAUAUUACCUUCGGGCGCAUGCCUGGGGGUGGAAAGCUCCGGCGGUGCAGGAUGAGCCCGCGGCCUAUCAGCUUGUUGGUGGGGUGAUGGCCUACCAAGGCGACGACGGGUAGCCGGCCUGAGAGGGCGACCGGCCACACUGGGACUGAGACACGGCCCAGACUCCUACGGGAGGCAGCAGUGGGGAAUAUUGCACAAUGGGCGGAAGCCUGAUGCAGCGACGCCGCGUGAGGGAUGACGGCCUUCGGGUUGUAAACCUCUUUCAGCAGGGAAGAAGCGCAAGUGACGGUACCUGCAGAAGAAGCACCGGCUAACUACGUGCCAGCAGCCGCGGUAAUACGUAGGGUGCGAGCGUUGUCCGGAAUUAUUGGGCGUAAAGAGCUCGUAGGCGGCUUGUCGCGUCGGAUGUGAAAGCCCGGGGCUUAACUCCGGGUCUGCAUUCGAUACGGGCAGGCUAGAGUUCGGUAGGGGAGAUCGGAAUUCCUGGUGUAGCGGUGAAAUGCGCAGAUAUCAGGAGGAACACCGGUGGCGAAGGCGGAUCUCUGGGCCGAUACUGACGCUGAGGAGC